This 1198-nucleotide long non-coding RNA is filed under the name Monodelphis domestica (gray short-tailed opossum). RNAcentral describes it as "lncRNA (ENSMODG00000039248.1)". Lineage: Eukaryota; Metazoa; Chordata; Mammalia; Didelphimorphia; Didelphidae. The record is from RNAcentral.
AUGGGUAAUUCAAUUCCUGUCCUUUUAAAGGACAAAGAUUGGCAAAGAGUUCCAAAAUUUCCUAGGAAUGGGUUAACUCCCCUGUUAACACUGGGGAGGAUUGGGGAGGAUAGGUUGUGUCUCUCGAGAAAACGUUCAUUAUCCCUCUUUGAUAAUGUUCCAAUCUUUCUUUCUUGCGACUUCUCGGUCAGCUCUAAGCUGUCCCCCGAUAGUUCUAAACUGUCCCCUAUUAGGGACCCCCUUCCCCCCAGUUCUUUUAUUGGAACCCCCCUUCAGUUCUCUUUGGAGAACCCCCGAUGCUGUGCGCUGGUCAUGCAAAGUUUCGAUGCUACAGAGAUCCCCUCAGUGAUGGGCCCCCAAAGGAGUGAAAAAGAGAAAAAUUCAGAGCAGAAAAAGAGAGAUUUUUACUCCACAAUUAGAGGCUAUUUUUCAUUUAAGAUUAAUGAUUUAACGUAUGCAAUUUGGAAGGAUUGUUAAUGAUUUUGAUAUGAUACAAAUAUAAUUUCGUGUAUUAUAGUAACUAUUUGUCAUGUUAAUAAGGUUUACCAGAUUUUAUUGAGCACAACAAAACUCAUGGUUAGAAGUUUAUUUUGUUAAAUCUUGCUAUGCAUAAUGGUUUCAGUGAAUUUGAGAAUUUUCUAAAUGUGGCUGAUAGCCAGACUGAUACAGAGAGGGAAUAUUUUAUUUUAUAAGGACAAAAAUUGCACUGGUCAAUUUAUAGAUGUAAAAGUCAUCCAGAAAAGUUGUUAUGUUGUUGAGAAGAACUUAUUCUAGAAAUUAAAUUUGGGAUUUUUUCAAAUCAGAUUUAUUUUCAUGCAUGUGCUGUCAGGAGUAGUAACAAGAAAUUAUAUGACACACAAGAAGUUUAAGUGAUUAAUCUGUUCAUGGGAUUUAAUAAUAUUAGUACUAGGAAUUUGUUAUUUUGCAAGAGAAAAUUUCUAAACAUUGUUGUCUUUGAUUAAGGUUAUAUGAAUUGCUUUUAAAAUGUGUACAAUGUAUAGGAAGUAAUUUAAGGGUAUAUGAUAUGCAAACUACAGCCUUGAAAUCAAAAAGGGCUUGUCAUAAGGAUUAAAUACAAUUCAGGAUAGUACCUUUCCUCUACUUACAAUAAUGGUAAAGAGGAGAAGCCAGAAGAAAUAAUAGUAAUGGACAGAGAUACUAGUUGAUAUUGUGAAUUCUAGUGUAAAAUGUAUACAAC